RNAcentral lists this transfer RNA (38 nucleotides) under Pleroma pereirae. Its description in RNAcentral is "Tibouchina pereirae partial tRNA-Lys". Lineage: Eukaryota; Viridiplantae; Streptophyta; Magnoliopsida; Myrtales; Melastomataceae. The record is from RNAcentral.
GGGUUGCUAACUCAACGGUAGAGUACUCGGGCUUUAAA